CUUCAGUGUCCCCUCACUGCUUUGCUCUUUAACAGUGUGAAGACUCCUGGGAGGGUGACACAUUACCAGAAAGGUGUGGGCCACUGCCUUUAGGAUUGGUGCAAUUUAUGGUAAUGGAGGGGAGAAAGGUAGGUAACCAGGAGGGAGACAUGGAGGCCUCAAGACAAACCUCUCCUCUCUCACAAUUACAGGGAAGGCUGAAUCAUUAAGGACAUGAAUCAGAUUGAUUCUCGUGGCUUUAAAAACAAACACCACAGGACCAGCGUGACCUGACAGCCUGUUCUUAUCCACAGAGGCUUGUGGUCUCCAUCGAAAAGAAGCAAAGACAGCACGUCCCAACUCAAAAGAUUGUGUCAUCCUAAAGGGGAAUCUGUGCAUCUGAAGAUGGCUCCUGUCCUUUCGCAACAUGGCAGCAAGCCAUGUGUUUGAGACAUGCAGA
Molecule: long non-coding RNA, 439 nt
Filed under: Pan troglodytes (chimpanzee)
Lineage: Eukaryota; Metazoa; Chordata; Mammalia; Primates; Hominidae
Description: long non-coding RNA NONPTRT010538
Source: RNAcentral